This 497-nucleotide ribosomal RNA is filed under the name uncultured bacterium. RNAcentral's name for it is "partial 16S ribosomal RNA". It matches the Rfam family "Bacterial small subunit ribosomal RNA", at positions 28 to 507 of the family's 1533-position model. The record is from RNAcentral.
GACGAACGCUGGCGGCGUGCCUAAUACAUGCAAGUUGAGCGCUGAAGGUUGGUACUUGUACCAACUGGAUGAGCAGCACACGGGUGAGUAACGCGUGGGGAAUCUGCCUUUGAGCGGGGGACAACAUUUGGAAACGAAUGCUAAUACCGCAUAAAAACUUUAAACACAAGUUUUAAGUUUGAAAGAUGCAAUUGCAUCACUCAAAGAUGAUCCCGCGUUGUAUUAGCUAGUUGGUGAGGUAAAGGCUCACCAAGGCGAUGAUACAUAGCCGACCUGAGAGGGUGAUCGGCCACAUUGGGAGUGAGACACGGCCCAAACGCCUACGGGAGGCAGCAGGAGGGAAUCUUCGGCAAGGGACGAAAGUCUGACCGAGCAACGCCGCGGGAGUGAAGAAGGUUGUCGGAUCGUAAAACUCUGUUGGUAGAGAAGAACGUUGGUGAGAGUGGAAAGCUCAUCAAGUGACGGUAACUACCCAGAAAGGGACGGCUAACUACGUG